AGAGUUUGAUCAUGGCUCAGGACGAACGCUGGCGGCGUGCUUAAUACAUGCAAGUCGAGCGAGAACCUACUGAGGGGUAACCCUCGGUAGGGGAGAGCGGCGAACGGGUGAGUAACACGUGGACAACGUGCCCCAGACUCUGGGAUAACAGCGGGAAACCGCUGCUAAUACCGGAUAACCCUGAUAACCCGCAUGGGUGUUCAGGCAAAGAAUUUCGGUCUGGGAUCGGUCCGCGGCCUAUCAGCUUGUUGGUGGGGUAACGGCCUACCAAGGCUUUGACGGGUAGCUGGCGUGAGAGCGUGACCAGCCACACUGGGACUGAGACACGGCCCAGACUCCUACGGGAGGCAGCAGUAGGGAAUCUUGCGCAAUGGGCGAAAGCCUGACGCAGCGACGCCGCGUGAGGGAUGAAGGCCUUCGGGUUGUAAACCUCUUUCAGCGGGGACGAAGCCCUUCGGGGUGACGGUACCCGCAGAAGAAGCCCCGGCCAACUACGUGCCAGCAGCCGCGGUAAUACGUAGGGGGCGAGCGUUGUCCGGAUUUAUUGGGCGUAAAGAGCGCGUAGGCGGCCGUUCACGUCGGAUGUGAAAGCUCAAAGCUCAACUUUGAGAUGCCAUUCGAUACGGAACGGCUAGAGGCAGCUAGGGGAGAGUGGAAUUCCUGGUGUAGCGGUGAAAUGCGCAGAUAUCAGGAGGAACACCGGUGGCGAAGGCGGCUCUCUGGGGCUGUUCUGACGCUGAGGCGCGAAAGCUGGGGGAGCAAACAGGAUUAGAUACCCCCGUAGUCC
RNAcentral lists this ribosomal RNA (787 nucleotides) under uncultured Actinomycetales bacterium. RNAcentral's name for it is "bacterial SSU rRNA". It matches the Rfam family "Bacterial small subunit ribosomal RNA", at positions 8 to 796 of the family's 1533-position model. Lineage: Bacteria; Bacillati; Actinomycetota; Actinomycetes; Actinomycetales. The record is from RNAcentral.